This is a non-coding RNA of Oncorhynchus mykiss (rainbow trout), 1159 nucleotides long. NCBI's taxonomy places the organism in Eukaryota, Metazoa, Chordata, Actinopteri, Salmoniformes, Salmonidae. The record is from RefSeq and is a predicted model, not a curated record.
GAAAAUUAUGUUGAACCCAACGUGGAAUAGAUGUUGAAUUGACAUCUUCUCCCUGUGGUAGGGGACUUUUACUCCGAAACAGUCGAAUGCUGUAUGGCAGAACUGGGCUCCUGAGUGGCGUCACUACAGUCCCUGGUGGUAGGUCGUCAUUGACAAUAAGUAUUUGUUCUUAUUAACUGACUUGCCGAGUUAAAUAAAGAUAAAAUAAAUCAAGCCGACUGUCAACUCACCUCCAUCCAUCUCAAGUCACUUUGGUCCUCUGUUGAGAAGACUAAAUCAGCCAAUGUGUAAUAACCCCAACAACCUAGCUACUCCCCUUCCAGUCCUUCCAACCAAAAGUGUAUAGGGAAUAAGGUGCUAUAUGGGAUGCAUUCGAGGGUCUGUGACUGACACAACAGGUAUCUGGUGAUAUAGCGCGCAUCACAUAGGAAACACAGUCACAACAGGUGGACAGCUUUAGUGACUUCAUGGCCCAGAGAAAACAGGUGUCUGGUGAUAUAGCGCGCAUCACAUAGGAAACACAGUCACAACAGGUGGACAGCUUUAGUGACUUCAUGGCCCAGAGAAAACAGGUGUCUGGUGAUAUAGCGCGCAUCACAUAGGAAACACAGUCACAACAGGUGGACAGCUUUAGUGACUUCAUGGCCCAGAGAAAACAGGUGUCUGGUGAUAUAGCGCGCAUCACAUAGGAAACACAGUCACAACAGGUGGACAGCUUUAGUGACUUCAUGGCCCAGAGAAAACAGGUAUCUGGUGAUAUAGCGCGCAUCACAUAGGAAACACAGUCACAACAGGUGGACAGCUUUAGUGACUUCAUGGCCCAGAGAAAACAGGUAUCUGGUGAUAUAGCGCGCAUCACAUAGGAAACACAGUCACAACAGGCCUAUAAAACAACAAGCAUCUGUAACACCACCAUCAUCAUUACAACGCAGGUUGACGUUUGUUGUCGUGAAUCUUGCCUCGGAGGCAGAACUGAGCGAUUUCCACUAGACGGACCAGCUGCAAAGUCAAAAUUGCCUAUAUAUACACACAUAUAUAAAUAAUUUAAGGUUAGGCAUUAAGGUUUUCAAUGUGCUUAAGGUUAAGUUCGAAACUCAGAUGUUAUGACUUUGUGGCUGGUGACCAUUCUGCAGAGCUGCCUCCAGAACAACAUUCAUGC